CCGUGAACCGGGUUGCGGACAGUGUCUGGUGGGUAGUUUGACUGGGGCGGUCUCCUCCUAAAGAGUAACGGAGGAGCACGAAGGUUGGCUAAUCCUGGUCGGACAUCAGGAGGUUAGUGCAAUGGCAUAAGCCAGCUUGACUGCGAGCGUGACGGCGCGAGCAGGUGCGAAAGCAGGUCAUAGUGAUCCGGUGGUUCUGAAUGGAAGGGCCAUCGCUCAACGGAUAAAAGGUACUCCGGGGAUAACAGGCUGAUACCGCCCAAGAGUUCAUAUCGACGGCGGUGUUUGGCACCUCGAUGUCGGCUCAUCACAUCCUGGGGCUGAAGUAGGUCCCAAGGGUAUGGCUGUUCGCCAUUUAAAGUGGUACGCGAGCUGGGUUUAGAACGUCGUGAGACAGUUCGGUCCCUAUCUGCCGUGGGCGCUGGAAGAUUGAGGGGGGCUGCUCCUAGUACGAGAGGACCGGAGUGGACGCAUCACUGGUGUUCGGGUUGUCAUGCCAAUGGCACUGCCCGGUAGCUACAUGCGGAAGAGAUAAGUGCUGAAAGCAUCUAAGCACGAAACUUGCCCCGAGAUGAAUCUUCCCUGAGCCUUUAAGGCUCCUGAAGGAACGUUGAAGACGACGACGUUGAUAGGCCGGGUGUGUAAGCGCAGCGAUGCGUUGAGCUAACCGGUACUAAUGAACCGUGAGGCUUAACCUUACAACGCCGAA
Molecule: ribosomal RNA, 709 nt
Filed under: Salmonella enterica
Lineage: Bacteria; Pseudomonadati; Pseudomonadota; Gammaproteobacteria; Enterobacterales; Enterobacteriaceae
Description: partial 23S ribosomal RNA
Rfam family: Bacterial large subunit ribosomal RNA
Source: RNAcentral